CUUCCGUGUGCGGCUUCCGUGUGUGGCAAACCCCCGUCAUCCGGUGGUCUGAGAGCUUGGAGUGGUGGUGCCUCUGCGGUGUGGGUCCCCGGUCUAGUCUAAUCCUCCCCUCAUCUGCAUGCUGAUCACGUUUGCCUGUGCUGUGGGACUGAAGUGCGGUGUGAAGUGUGUUUGUCUUGCACGUGUGCCUGGGGUGGCCUUUGUUUGGAUCCCCUCACCUCAUUUAGCCCACCUAUCUCCUGGUAAGCCUCAGCCAUCUUUUAUUUUUGAAUCGUGGGUUUUGUUUUGUUGAUUUUAAAUAAAGAUUGUUUAAUUGAUUGGA
Long non-coding RNA from Melanotaenia boesemani (Boeseman's rainbowfish), 322 nucleotides. RefSeq lists it as uncharacterized. The record is from RefSeq and is a predicted model, not a curated record. Lineage: Eukaryota; Metazoa; Chordata; Actinopteri; Atheriniformes; Melanotaeniidae. The transcript is spliced from 2 exons.